RNAcentral lists this unclassified non-coding RNA (902 nucleotides) under Lactococcus lactis. RNAcentral also lists the same sequence under 1 other name. The record is from RNAcentral. Lineage: Bacteria; Bacillati; Bacillota; Bacilli; Lactobacillales; Streptococcaceae.
GUGCGCCCAGAUAGGGUGUUAAGUCAAGUAGUUUAAGGUACUACUCUGUAAGAUAACACAGAAAACAGCCAACCUAACCGAAAAGCGAAAGCUGAUACGGGAACAGAGCACGGUUGGAAAGCGAUGAGUUACCUAAAGACAAUCGGGUACGACUGAGUCGCAAUGUUAAUCAGAUAUAAGGUAUAAGUUGUGUUUACUGAACGCAAGUUUCUAAUUUCGGUUAUGUGUCGAUAGAGGAAAGUGUCUGAAACCUCUAGUACAAAGAAAGGUAAGUUAUGGUUGUGGACUUAUCUGUUAUCACCACAUUUGUACAAUCUGUAGGAGAACCUAUGGGAACGAAACGAAAGCGAUGCCGAGAAUCUGAAUUUACCAAGACUUAACACUAACUGGGGAUACCCUAAACAAGAAUGCCUAAUAGAAAGGAGGAAAAAGGCUAUAGCACUAGAGCUUGAAAAUCUUGCAAGGGUACGGAGUACUCGUAGUAGUCUGAGAAGGGUAACGCCCUUUACAUGGCAAAGGGGUACAGUUAUUGUGUACUAAAAUUAAAAAUUGAUUAGGGAGGAAAACCUCAAAAUGAAACCAACAAUGGCAAUUUUAGAAAGAAUCAGUAAAAAUUCACAAGAAAAUAUAGACGAAGUUUUUACAAGACUUUAUCGUUAUCUUUUACGUCCAGAUAUUUAUUACGUGGCGACGCGUUGGGAAAUGGCAAUGAUAGCGAAACAACGUAAAACUCUUGUUGUAUGCUUUCAUUGUCAUCGUCACGUGAUUCAUAAACACAAGUGAAUUUUUACGAACGAACAAUAACAGAGCCGUAUACUCCGAGAGGGGUACGUACGGUUCCCGAAGAGGGUGGUGCAAACCAGUCACAGUAAUGUGAACAAGGCGGUACCUCCCUACUUCAC